GUGGGGAAUAUUGGGCAAUGGGGGAAACCCUGACCCAGCGACGCCGCGUGAGGGAAGAAGGCCUUAGGGUCGUAAACCUCUGUUGUGUGGGAAGAAGAGCGUGACGGUACCACACGAGGAAGUCCCGGCUAACUACGUGCCAGCAGCCGCGGUAAUACGUAGGGGACGAGCGUUGUACGGAUUUACUGGGCGUAAAGGGCGCGUAGGCGGUCAUUUAAGUCAGCUGUGAAAUGGUUUGGCUUAACCGGAUCAUGCGGUUGAAACUGGAUGACUGGAGUGCUGGAGAGGCAAGUGGAAUUCCCAGUGUAGCGGUGAAAUGCGUAGAUAUUGGGAAGAACACCGGUGGCGAAGGCGACUUGCUGGCCAGCAACUGACGCUGAGGCGCGAAAGCCAGGGGAGCAAACGGGAUUAGAAACCCCAGUAGUCC
RNAcentral lists this ribosomal RNA (427 nucleotides) under uncultured bacterium. Its description in RNAcentral is "partial 16S ribosomal RNA". It matches the Rfam family "Bacterial small subunit ribosomal RNA", at positions 354 to 796 of the family's 1533-position model. The record is from RNAcentral.